CCAUUAACACAACUAUUGUUUUCCCCAGAACACAAGAGAGGCACAGGACAAAUGUGAUCCCAAAGGCAGUGUGGCAUAACAUGCAGGACCACUCAGAGGGCUGGCCAAUGAAAAACACAAGAGAGGCACAGGACAAAUGUGAUCCCAAAGGCAGUGUGGCGCAACAUGCAGGACCACUCAGAGGGCUGGCCAAUGAAAAUGAAAACUUUAAUUCCAUACAGAGACCAAGCCAGUAAACCCAUCAAGUGUCCUCAGGUGAAAAUAUAGACAGAGUUGAUGACAAAAAAUAUCAGAAUCCAUCAGCUGAACUUCCCCUGGAAGUUGGGAUUGCUUUCCAACUAAAGAGGUAGACCCAAACUUAAAUGUAAUUUACCAUGGGGAUUUUAAAAGGUUGCAGUGUUCUUGAUACAAUAAUGGACUGUGAUGAUCCAGAGUCCCCAAUGAUGACUUUCACAGG
Acipenser ruthenus (sterlet) is the source of this 457-nucleotide long non-coding RNA. RefSeq lists it as uncharacterized. The transcript has 4 exons. The record is from RefSeq and is a predicted model, not a curated record. Lineage: Eukaryota; Metazoa; Chordata; Actinopteri; Acipenseriformes; Acipenseridae.